RNAcentral lists this ribosomal RNA (497 nucleotides) under uncultured bacterium. RNAcentral's name for it is "partial 16S ribosomal RNA". It matches the Rfam family "Bacterial small subunit ribosomal RNA", at positions 28 to 507 of the family's 1533-position model. The record is from RNAcentral.
GAUGAACGCUGGCGGCGUGCCUAAUACAUGCAAGUCGAGCGAACGGACUUGAAGCUUGUUCCUCUUAGGUUAGCGGCGGACGGGUGAGUAACACGUGGAUAACCUACCUUUAAGCCUGGGAUAACUUCUGGAAACCAGUGCUAAUACCGCAUAAUAUUUUUAACCGCAUGGUUCAAGAUUGAAAGAUGCUCUUGCUUCCCCUAAUAAUUGUACCCCGUUUGCAUUGCCAAGUGGGUAGGGAAACGCCCAACCAAGGCAACGAUGCUAGGCGGACCUGAGAGGUUGAUGGGCAAAACUGGAACUGGGAAACGGUCAAGACUCCUACGGGAGGAAGAAGUGGGGAAUAUUGGGCAAGGGGCGAAAGCCUGACGAAGAAAGGCCGCGUGGGUGAGGAAGGUCUUCGGAUGGUAAAACUCUGUGAUAGGGGAAGAAGAUAGGUAGAAGGAAAAGUGCAUAACGUGACGGUACCUAAUCAGAAAGCCACGGCUAACUACGUG